GCUGCUAUAGCUCAGCAGGUAGAGCGCGUCCUUGGUAAGGACGAGGUCCCCGGUUCAAGCCCGGGUAGCAGCUCCA
Molecule: transfer RNA, 76 nt
Filed under: Peptococcaceae bacterium
Lineage: Bacteria; Bacillati; Bacillota; Clostridia; Eubacteriales; Peptococcaceae
Description: tRNA-Thr
Rfam family: tRNA
About the family: Transfer RNA (tRNA) molecules are approximately 80 nucleotides in length. Their secondary structure includes four short double-helical elements and three loops (D, anti-codon, and T loops). Further hydrogen bonds mediate the characteristic L-shaped molecular structure. tRNAs have two regions of fundamental functional importance: the anti-codon, which is responsible for specific mRNA codon recognition, and the 3' end, to which the tRNAs corresponding amino acid is attached (by aminoacyl-tRNA synthetases). tRNAs cope with the degeneracy of the genetic code in two manners: having more than one tRNA (with a specific anti-codon) for a particular amino acid; and 'wobble' base-pairing, i.e. permitting non-standard base-pairing at the 3rd anti-codon position.
Source: RNAcentral